Molecule: ribosomal RNA, 162 nt
Filed under: uncultured bacterium
Lineage: Bacteria
Description: partial 16S ribosomal RNA
Source: RNAcentral
UAGUGACAGCACGCAGUCUGAUGCAGCACGCGCGUGAUGCUGAAGAGCUUCGGGUCUGUAAGCUCUGUUGUCAGCGAUGAAGGGUGCCUGAGGACUGCGCGGCCUUGACGGUACCUGGCCAGGGAGCCCCUGCUAACUACGUGCCAGCAGCCCCGCGGUAUA